This 491-nucleotide ribosomal RNA is filed under the name uncultured bacterium. RNAcentral's name for it is "bacterial SSU rRNA". It matches the Rfam family "Bacterial small subunit ribosomal RNA", at positions 77 to 559 of the family's 1533-position model. The record is from RNAcentral.
UAGCAAUAUUCCGGAGCGGGAGUGGCGCAAGGGUGCGUAACACGUGGGUCAUUUGCCGUGAAGCUGGGAACAACUCGUUGAAAGACGAGCUAAUACCCAAUGUGCUCCGCAAGGAGUAAAGCCGGGGACCGCAAGGCCUGGCACUUUACGAUAAGCCCGCGGCCUAUCAGCUAGUUGGCGGGGUAAAAGCCCACCAAGGCUAAGACGGGUAGCUGGUCUGAGAGGACGACCAGCCACACUGGAACUGAGACACGGUCCAGACACCUACGGGUGGCAGCAGUCGAGAAUUUUUCACAAUGGGCGAAAGCCUGAUGGAGCGACGCCGCGUGGGGGAUGAAGGGCUUCGGCUCGUAAACCCCUGUCAUUCGCGAACAAAGGUGCCGGCCUAAUAUGCCGUCGUCUGAUAGUAGCGGAAGAGGAAGGGACGGCUAACUCUGUGCCAGCAGCCGCGGUAAUACAGAGGUCCCAAGCGUUGUUCGGAUUCACUGGGC